This 75-nucleotide transfer RNA is filed under the name Sphaerodactylus townsendi. RNAcentral's name for it is "tRNA-Ser". The record is from RNAcentral. Lineage: Eukaryota; Metazoa; Chordata; Lepidosauria; Squamata; Sphaerodactylidae.
GGACUGUCCAUGGCGUAGUGGCAGAGCAUCUAUUUUGAAAGCAGAAGGUCCCAGGUUCAAGUCUUGCCAUCUCCC